This 440-nucleotide long non-coding RNA is filed under the name Coturnix japonica (Japanese quail). RNAcentral's name for it is "lncRNA (ENSCJPG00005020022.1)". Lineage: Eukaryota; Metazoa; Chordata; Aves; Galliformes; Phasianidae. The record is from RNAcentral.
UAGUUUAGUGACUGAUGUGAAAUGAGUUUCAUGGUGCUAAUAUUUUGUGUUUCAUCCCAGUGAUCUGUCAAGGCAGACGUCAUCCACAGGUCACCUCUGGUCUUCACAUUUCCUUAUGAGAAAACAAGAGUCACCGACACUUUCUGUACCGUCGUCACCACAGUCUGUAUCCACAACAUCAAACAAAAGUUGGCCUUUAUUUCUCUGUUGCUAAUGUCUAUGGAGAGGCUCUCAUGGACUUCAAAGGAAUUAGGAUUUGUGCCUUCUGAAAGUGGUCACUGUAGGCCCACUGUGACUCCCACCUGUAAAAAACCUUCCAGCAAAAACCACCCAGAGCACCAGCUGGUUGAAAAGACCUCAUCUCCAUCUCCCUGCCCACCUCUGCUAAUGUGAACACUGAAAUAUUCAGUAACAGACUUGAAGUAAAACUUGAAAAAAUG